ACACUACUGAAGAGUCCAAAACUAGGACGAAACGGUUGUUUAGUGU
This 46-nucleotide non-coding RNA is filed under the name Trichobilharzia regenti. Lineage: Eukaryota; Metazoa; Platyhelminthes; Trematoda; Strigeidida; Schistosomatidae. The record is from RNAcentral.